UCUGAGCAGCCUGUGCCUGCAGGACCUGCACUGCCCACAGGAUUUCAGCAGAGCUUUGGGGAGGCUGUCUCCAGGGCCUACGAAAUCAAAACACCCAUGUGAUCCUUAGGCAAGCUUAUUUCUUGUGCAAAGGCUGAAUGGCUGAAUCAACCCUGCAGUGAUUGGGACCCAGCUGUUUUCAGUGCAGGGUCCUGUUCCCCCUGCUCUGUCUUGCCCUUUGCCUCUUUUCUUGAGCCAGUUCAACUGGUUAACUCAAAAGAGAAUUAUCCAACUUCCUGGUUAUUUUCCUCCAAGUCAAGGGGGUGAAUUGACUGAUGGUGGUAUCUGAAGAGCACUGCAGUUGGCAA
Phalacrocorax carbo (great cormorant) is the source of this 347-nucleotide non-coding RNA. NCBI's taxonomy places the organism in Eukaryota, Metazoa, Chordata, Aves, Suliformes, Phalacrocoracidae. The record is from RefSeq and is a predicted model, not a curated record.